This 254-nucleotide ribosomal RNA is filed under the name uncultured bacterium. RNAcentral's name for it is "partial 16S ribosomal RNA". It matches the Rfam family "Bacterial small subunit ribosomal RNA", at positions 524 to 776 of the family's 1533-position model. The record is from RNAcentral.
UACGUAGGGUGCAAGCGUUAAUCGGAAUUACUGGGCGUAAAGGGUGCGCAGGCGGUUAUAUAAGACAGAUGUGAAAUCCCCGGGCUCAACCUGGGAACUGCGUUUGUGACUGUAUGACUAGAGUACGGUAGAGAGGGGUGGAAUCCCUGGUGUAGCAGUGAAAUGCGUAGAUAUCAGGAGGAACAUCGAUGGCGAAGGCAGCCCCUUGGACCGUGUACUGACGCUCAUGCACGAAAGCGUGGGGAGCAAACAGG